GAUGAACGCUGGCGGCGUGCCUAAUACAUGCAAGUCGAGCGGACAGACGAGGAGCUUGCUCGUCUGACGUUAGCGGCGGACGGGUGAGUAACACGUGGAUAACCUCCCUCUAAGACUGGGAUAACUUCGGGAAACCGGAGAUAAUACCGGAUAAUAUAUUGAACCGCAUGGUUGAAUAGUGAGAGACGGUUUUGCUGUCACUUAUAGAUGGAUCCGCGCCGCAUUAGCUAGUUGGUGAGGUAACGGCUUACCAAGGCAAGGAGGCGUAGCCGACCUGAGAGGGGGGUCGCCGGCCCUGGAGGGUACACACGCACCAUGCUCCUACGGUAGGCAGCAGGAUGGUACGUUCCGCAAUGGUCGGGAGCAUGACGGAGUAAGCGCGCGCGAGUGACGGAGGGCUUCCGUGCGGGAUGCUCUCUUUUUAGUUAUGAACAAAUGUCUCCGUAGCUAGUGCGUGCGUGACGGUACUGAGUCAAAAAGCCCCGGCUAACUACGUG
RNAcentral lists this ribosomal RNA (497 nucleotides) under uncultured bacterium. Its description in RNAcentral is "partial 16S ribosomal RNA". It matches the Rfam family "Bacterial small subunit ribosomal RNA", at positions 28 to 507 of the family's 1533-position model. The record is from RNAcentral.